RNAcentral lists this ribosomal RNA (278 nucleotides) under uncultured bacterium. RNAcentral describes it as "partial 16S ribosomal RNA". It matches the Rfam family "Bacterial small subunit ribosomal RNA", at positions 29 to 289 of the family's 1533-position model. The record is from RNAcentral.
ACGAACGCUGGCGGCGUGCCUAACACAUGCAAGUCGCACGAGAAAUCCUGGGCAACCGGGAAAGUAAAGUGGCGCACGGGUGAGUAACGCGUGGGUAACCUGCCCUUGAGUUGGGGAUAACCCCGCGAAAGCGGGGCUAAUACCGAAUAAUAUGUCAGUCUCUAUGGGGAUUGAAAUCAAAGGUAGCCUCUGCGUGCAAGCUAUUGCUCAAGGAUGGGCCCGCGUACCAUUAGCUUGUUGGUAGGGUAAUGGCCUACCAAGGCAACGAUGGUUAGCUG